This 994-nucleotide ribosomal RNA is filed under the name Spiniferodinium palustre. RNAcentral describes it as "partial large subunit ribosomal RNA". It matches the Rfam family "Eukaryotic large subunit ribosomal RNA", at positions 71 to 989 of the family's 3401-position model. Lineage: Eukaryota; Dinophyceae; Phytodiniales; Phytodiniaceae. The record is from RNAcentral.
AGGANNNCCUCAGUAAUGGCGAAUGAACAGGGAUGAGCUCACCAUGGAAAUUGUAGCUUCUGGCUGCGAAUUGUAAUUUCAAGAUGUAUCGCUAACGAGGGCGUAGGUGUAAGCCUCUUGGAAAAGAGCAUCGGCGAGGGUGAGAAUCCUGUUUGUCAUCUACAGCCCCUCGUGUUCGGCAUACGAUCUUCGAGUCACGUUCCUCGGGAUUGGAGCGCAAAUUGGGUGGUAAAUUUCAUCUCAGGCUAAAUAUGGUUUCGAAACCGAUAGCAAACAAGUACCAUGAGGGAAAGAUGAAAAGGACUUUGAAAAGAGAGUUAAAAGUGCCUGAACUUGCUGAAAGGAAAGCGGAUGGAACCACCAUUGCGUGGCGAGAUUGUUGUGCGCCUCAGAGAUUGCCUGUCGAGCGAGCGCAAGCAGCUUGGUGGGUUCUGAUCUGGCAACGCGCGAUGCUUCUUGCCUUGUGCGUCACUGACUGUUCGUCGGCGAGGAUACCUCUGGGGACAUGUCAGCGAGCCUUCGGGAGCGCGAAUGUGCCCAGCAGUACUCGCUUGCGCACAGUGCCCUCGCCUCAGAUCGCGUUGCUCUCUGCGAGCGUGCGCGCAUGUGCGCGCUUGCCAGUGGCACCCCUCUGAUGCAUCUCUAGUGGCGAAAUGGUUCCAUUCGACCCGUCUUGAAACACGGACCAAGGAGUCUAACAUGUGUGCGAGUUCUUGGGUGUCAAGCCUACGUGCGCAAUGAAAGUGAGUACUGAGAUGUUCGCAUCAGCAGCCGACCGAUCGAUUGGGAGAGGUUUGAGCAAGAGCAUAUCUGUUAGGACCCGAAAGAUGGUGAACUAUGCCUGAGAAGGGCAAAGUCUGGGGAAACUCAGAUGGAGGCUCGUAGCGAUACUGACGUGCAAAUCGUUCGUCAUACUUGGGUAUAGGGGCGAAAGACUAAUCGAACCAUCUAGUAGCUGGUUCCCUCCGAAGUUUCCCUCAGGAUAGCUGGAGUU